This 492-nucleotide ribosomal RNA is filed under the name uncultured bacterium. RNAcentral describes it as "partial 16S ribosomal RNA". It matches the Rfam family "Bacterial small subunit ribosomal RNA", at positions 29 to 507 of the family's 1533-position model. The record is from RNAcentral.
AGUGAACGCUGGCGGUAGGCCUAACACAUGCAAGUCGAACGGCAGCACAGUAAGAGCUUGCUCUUACGGGUGGCGAGUGGCGGACGGGUGAGGAAUACAUCGGAAUCUACUUUUUCGUGGGGGAUAACGUAGGGAAACUUACGCUAAUACCGCAUACGACCUACGGGUGAAAGCAGGGGAUCUUCGGACCUUGCGCGAUUGAAUGAGCCGAUGUCGGAUUAGCUAGUUGGCGGGGUAAAGGCCCACCAAGGCGACGAUCCGUAGCUGGUCUGAGAGGAUGAUCCGCCACACUGGGACUGAGACACGGUCCAGACUCCUACGGGAGGCAGCAGUGGGGAAUAUUGGACAAUGGGCGCAAGCCUGAUCCAGCCAUACCGCGUGGGUGAAGAAGGCCUUCGGGUUGUAAAGCCCUUUUGUUGGGAAAGAAAAGCAGCAGGUUAAUACCCCGCUGUUCUGACGGUACCCAAAGAAUAAGCACCGGCUAACUUCGUG